AUGUGGCUUGAUGUAAAUAAAGAUUUCAAAGACCUGCUGUUUUCCAUUCCAAUAAUUGCUUCCAGCAGCACAAUUCUUUUUUUUCCCCCAAAACAGGGUGUUCACUUCACUGAGCUUUUUCUUCUCCAACAUGAGCUUACUUGUGCGUCCUUUGUGGAGUUUGUAGAAGAGACUGCUCAUCGUUCCCAGUCAGUUUUCUCCUUCCUCUGCAGUAACAGAAUCCCCGCCAUAGCUGAGCAAAUUCCUCAGUGUUCACUGCAACUAUCACAGCCAGUUCUACCCAGUAGAGUAAGCAGAAGUGCUCCAUCAAACUGCAAGGAAAUAACAUGACUGGGCAUCAGUGUGACUUCUGAUUCAUCAUGCCUUUGGUUGGAAAAUAGGGGUGAAAACUAGAGCUGCAGGAGCUCCUGGGGAUGAGUUAACUCUGCAGGUAGGGCCAAAUACAGUAAAGCACAGGAUAAAAGAAUGAUACGAGCUCCAAGCCUACCUGGACAGCGUUCUGAUAUUUUGGGUAAGAUUGUUCUCCACCACCAUUUAUCAGCUGCUGUUUGUUUUAAACCAAGUUGUCUCAUACAGUGAUAGAAAAAGUUCUAUCACUGUCAGCUUCUUCCUACAAGGACAGUGGUUGCUUCUACCUGCCUGGCUUCUAUUUUUCCUGAUCUUAAUGCCUGCACCUCAAAUUCCCUUUGUGGAAUGAUCCCUUUGCCCAGCCUUAGUAGAACUGUCAAUUGAGAUGCAUCACCUGCCCCUAAGCUGGACCACAUGAAGUUUGAAUUUGAAUGGAAUUUGAAUUUUGAACAUUAUAAUUCCAGCUCCAAGAAUGCCAGAGUGACCAUGUCCUGGAGGUGGGUACUGAAGAACAGCUUCCAACUAAAGAAUAUUAAUCAAGAGAUGUAGCACUGAGGCUGUGAAUAGAAAAGCACCAUUUUACAAUUCUUGCAGUGCUAGAUUCCAGCAAGAAUUAUCAAUGGAUGCUAAAUCCAUGGUGGAUAAAACAUGCUGGGAACAGAAUAUCCACAUAGUCUCGAAAAGCCACUCCCUGGAUUCCUUCUGAGUCACAAAGGGGACGGAUCCACAGUGGCAGUGUGGCGGGCACUUCUUAAUCAAACCAAACAAAUGUCUCAGCCAGAGGGCACCCUGGGCCCUGAGUGUGGGCUCAGGGAAGAAGCAGCAUCGCGUAUGCAUCACGCACAUCGACACAGACUCAGCUCAGUCCAAUCAAAAUACCGUAGGGGACUCUUCAAGAUGAAAGGAGACAAAAAAUAAUAGCUAAAAUGCACGAUCCUUGAUUUGACCUUCAGCUAACACAAGUUACAAAGGGCAGCUUGGGGACAGCUGGGGAAACUGAGUAGGGUCUGUAUAUCAGAUUAUAGUAUAUGGUAUUGUUUGGGGGUGAACUCUCAGGGCAUUGACAUGGAGAAGGCUUCCUUCUUUGUUGUUAGGAGAUGCAUGCUGUGGGCAAAAUAUCAAUAUCUAUAAUUAAUAUUCAAAUGGUUCAGCAAAAAUUUUAAAUGGAUGGGAUAUAUACAGUAUAUCUCAUUUAGUAUGACUGCUUGAGAGACAUAAGCAAAUAGUACUGUUCUUGCAACUAUCCUGUAGAUUUAAAAUUUUUCCAAAUAAAAACGUGGAGGAAAAAAAUCUCUUUUUAUUUUUCUGUUUUUAGAGUGCAGUGUGGAGAUUGCCAUGUUCAUCUGUGUCACAGGCCUGGCGCCCUAUUUCCAAAGGGCCCAUGGGUGGCCAAGCUAUGACAAGAGCAGAGAGGUCCAUUCUCCCUGGGGGACACUGGCUGAUGUGGGUGAUGGGGCCACAUCCCCUCCAGUCCUGUUUCCUACCUUGCUCCUUCCCCUCUGUUUUCUAUCAUGGUAGACUGCUUCUCCUCCACAAACCACUUCUGUCCCCACCUCAGGACACUGGUGUUAACUGGCUUUGUGGUCUGGGUGCCGCUCUUCGGGUCUUUGCCGGGCUGCCCCUCUAGGCUGAGAAGCCAUCACCCCUCAAGGCCCUUUGUCUCUACCCUAACGCCCACUUUUUCCCCACGCUUCCUGUGUCACCAGCUGGAAGUCCUAUGUAUUUGUUAUCUGCACUCAGAGCGCUCCAGAGAAACAGAAUGAGUAGGAAACUAUAUACAAUGUUACGUAUAUUACACAUAGUAUCAUGUAAGUUAUCUUUUACAUAUACACAUAUAAUGAGCAAUCUAGCCUAUAUUUUAUAUAUGUCUAUAAUGUGAGGAAUUGACUCAUAUGAUGAUAUAGAGACUGGAAAGUUCCACAGUCUGUCAUCUGUGAGCAGGAGGCUCAGGAGACACAUGAGUACAGUUCAGUCUGAGUCUAAAGGCGUGUGUAAUGGUUGAUUGGUUGUGUUAACUUUAGAAGUUUAGAAGCUACUUUCAGGGUGUAGAGGACCCACCCUAGAGCAGCUGUCACCUGGACAGUAUAAAGGGAAAAUGAGGAAGGACAGGCUUGCUUCUGUUCUUUGCAGGAGCUCCAGUCUUCAUUAUGAGCUUCAUCUCAUGGCUUCUAGCACACACUUUUCAGCUUCCACCUCAGAUCCUUCAGCCUUCUGGUAUAGACUCUUCAGCCUUUCAUUGUAGACCCAUUGGCCUCCUGAUAUGGACUUGCAUGGGACACUGCAGUGAACUUCAGAUCUUGGACUGAAACUUUCAGUCUCCAGCGUGCAGACACCCUCUACAUGCUUCCUCAUCCAAAUCUGUGGGUGGCCAUUGUAAGCCAAUCUUGUAAUUUCUUAUACAUUUGUAUAUCUUGUGUUAGAUCUCUUUCUGUAGUAAAACCCUGACUGAUACAGACUGGAACCAGGACAGCAUUAGUGUAGUGUGAACCCCAAUGAGAAGCAGAAGAGAUGAAGUGUCCCAGCUCCCUUUGUCUUUUGCUCUGUCCAUAUACUCAGUGCAUUAGCUGUAACCAUCUCACACUUGGAGGGGGUCCACUCAGU
This is a long non-coding RNA of Chinchilla lanigera (long-tailed chinchilla), 2949 nucleotides long. NCBI's taxonomy places the organism in Eukaryota, Metazoa, Chordata, Mammalia, Rodentia, Chinchillidae. The record is from Ensembl.